This 825-nucleotide ribosomal RNA is filed under the name Vibrio parahaemolyticus. RNAcentral describes it as "partial 23S ribosomal RNA". It matches the Rfam family "Bacterial large subunit ribosomal RNA", at positions 87 to 966 of the family's 2925-position model. The record is from RNAcentral. Lineage: Bacteria; Pseudomonadati; Pseudomonadota; Gammaproteobacteria; Vibrionales; Vibrionaceae.
AGUAACAACCAUUUGAGUCUGGGAUUUCUGAAUGGGGAAACCCACUUACAUAAGUAAGUAUCAUUAACUGAAUACAUAGGUUAAUGAGGCGAACCGGGGGAACUGAAACAUCUAAGUACCCCGAGGAAAAGAAAUCAACCGAGAUUCCGAAAGUAGCGGCGAGCGAAAUUGGACUAGCCCUUAAGCUUUACACGCGUUAGACGAACGGUCUGGAAAGUCCGACGAUACAGGGUGAUAGUCCCGUAGUUGACGACGUGUGUUCAGUGAAAUCGAGUAGGGCGGGACACGUGAUAUCCUGUCUGAAUAUGGGGGGACCAUCCUCCAAGGCUAAAUACUACUGACUGACCGAUAGUGAACCAGUACCGUGAGGGAAAGGCGAAAAGAACCCCUGUGAGGGGAGUGAAAUAGAACCUGAAACCGUGUACGUACAAGCAGUAGGAGCAGGCUUGUCCUGUGACUGCGUACCUUUUGUAUAAUGGGUCAGCGACUUAUAUUCAGUGGCAAGGUUAACCAUCUAGGGGAGCCGUAGGGAAACCGAGUCUUAACUGGGCGUUCAGUCUCUGGAUAUAGACCCGAAACCAGGUGAUCUAGCCAUGGGCAGGUUGAAGGUUGAGUAACAUCAACUGGAGGACCGAACCGACUAAUGUUGAAAAAUUAGCGGAUGACUUGUGGCUAGGGGUGAAAGGCCAAUCAAACCUGGAGAUAGCUGGUUCUCCCCGAAAGCUAUUUAGGUAGCGCCUCGGACGAAUACUACUGGGGGUAGAGCACUGUUAAGGCUAGGGGGUCAUCCCGACUUACCAACCCUUUGCAAACUCCGAAUACCAG